This 469-nucleotide ribosomal RNA is filed under the name uncultured bacterium. RNAcentral's name for it is "bacterial SSU rRNA". It matches the Rfam family "Bacterial small subunit ribosomal RNA", at positions 181 to 668 of the family's 1533-position model. The record is from RNAcentral.
CGGUGAUUCAUUUUGCCGAGUAAAGUCGAAAGGCGCUUCAGGAUGGGCCUGCGGCGGAUUAGGUAGUUGGUGGGGUAACGGCCUACCAAGCCGAUGAUCCGUAGGGGGCGUGAGAGCGUGGCCCCCCACACUGGCACUGAGAUACGGGCCAGACUCCUACGGGAGGCAGCAGUGAGGAAUAUUGCGCAAUGGGCGAAAGCCUGACGCAGCAACGCCGCGUGAGGGACGAAGGCCUUCGGGUCGUAAACCUCUUUUCUGGGGAAAGAGCAAGGACGGUACCUCAGGAAUAAGUCUCGGCUAACUACGUGCCAGCAGCCGCGGUAAAACGUAGGAGGCGAGCGUUAUCCGGAUUUACUGGGCGUAAAGCGCACGCAGGCGGCUUCGUUAGUCGGGUGUGAAAGCUCCUAACUUAACUGGGAGAGGCCACUCGAUACUGCGAGGCUUGAGGUUGGGAGAAGGGUGUGGAAUU